Molecule: long non-coding RNA, 514 nt
Organism: Pan troglodytes (chimpanzee)
Lineage: Eukaryota; Metazoa; Chordata; Mammalia; Primates; Hominidae
Exons: 3
Source: RefSeq, a predicted model, not a curated record
GGUGUGGUGAGUGAAAUGGAGAAGGCUAAACUUUUUCUUCCCACAUGCUCACUUCCUCGCUUGUUCGCUAGCUGCUGCAUCUGGCCCCUCAAGGGUAAAGUCAAGGGGAAAAGGAGAUCGAGAGGAAGGACAGUCUGUGAAUUGGGUCUCACCGUGUUUCCCAGAGUGAAGUACAGUGUUGUGAUAUCAGUUCAUUGCAACUUCUGUCUUCCGAGCUCAAGCAAUCCUCUUGCCUCAGCCUCUCGAGUAGUUGGGACUGACUACAGGCAUGAACCACCACACCUGGCUAAUUUUUUUGUAUUUUGGUCGAAAAGACGGUUUCGCCAUGGUGUACAGAACUACUUCUCAAAUCACUAUUCACAUCCUGGUAGAAGUCAAGCAAUGAAGAUGGCACAGAAACACAUCCCAAAUACUAUGAUACCAUAAAGUAUACUGUAGCAAUGCAUCUGGCACACCCUCAUUUGAACAUCUGUCUCAGAAGAUUUUGACAGAAGAUAAAACUGUCUAGUUUUUA